This 30-nucleotide non-coding RNA is filed under the name Mus musculus (house mouse). The record is from RNAcentral. Lineage: Eukaryota; Metazoa; Chordata; Mammalia; Rodentia; Muridae.
UCUGGGAGAUUCCCUACAAGAUGCCCGUGU